UGUGACGGUCCAGGAAUCCGGGGGUCUGGAUUCUGACGUCACCACAUAAAACCCAUUUUUAAACACUCUUGAAAACCUGUAUUUUUUUUUCUUUUAAAAGAUAAUGGAAAUCCAAAUAAUUUAAAACCGGAAAAUAUUUGAAAAAGAACAUAAAUCAAAUGAUUUCAAAACCUGAAUUUCAAACUUGAAAGCCAUAAUAAGAGAAUUUCAAGAGAACAUUUAAACUUUAAUAAAUGAUUCGAAAGAGAACAUUUAAACCCCCUAAAAUCAACAGGAUCGCAUCCAGGUUACAGUAUUGAAAUUAGAAUCAACCACUAAUAUUACACAACAUCUCUUACCAAAUCAGAUCAUCUUCGAUAAGAAGAAUCACUGUCAACUAUUCCAGCUAUGACUUACACUUGAAUUUCCAUAGCACAGCUCUAGCUUGCACCAACCUCAUCAACUUUCCUGAACACUCCUCGACCACCGGAUCCUCAACUCUGUCUCCUCGCCUAGCAUUAGCCUUACUCACAAUCUCAAUCAAUCAUCUUAUCUUUCAGCCUUUCUGAAAUGGUUAGAAAGGAAUAGCAAGGGUGAGCAACAAUGCUCAGCAAGUAAUAAUAAACAAUGAUAGUUCUGAAAUGAUAUAAUAGAAGUUCACGAGUUCAAGAUAUAAGAGGAUUCAACCUGAGUUCAUGAGUUCAUGGUAUUGUAUAGAAUGAUUUACAAUACCUUGCAGCAUUUAAACUGAGAAAUUCAAUCUUUCCAAAGAAUUAUUGAAUUGGACUAUCACAUUUUAAUUAAAACCAAGGUUAGGCAGCUGAUCAGUUCUGCACUAACCCCGAGCAGGCCCCGCCAUGCUCUAUCACUG
Molecule: long non-coding RNA, 850 nt
Filed under: Daucus carota (carrot)
Lineage: Eukaryota; Viridiplantae; Streptophyta; Magnoliopsida; Apiales; Apiaceae
Description: long non-coding RNA (DCAR_LNC007391)
Source: RNAcentral